Molecule: ribosomal RNA, 1073 nt
Filed under: uncultured organism
Description: bacterial SSU rRNA
Rfam family: Bacterial small subunit ribosomal RNA
Source: RNAcentral
GUAAGGUAACGGCUUACCAUGGCAAUGAUGGCUAGGGGUUCUGCAAGGAAGGCCCCCCACACUGGUACUGAGACACGGACCAGAGUCCUACGGGAGGCAGCAGUGAGGAAUAUUGGUCAAUGGAGGCAACUCUGAACCAGCCAAGCCGCGUGAAGGAAGACUGUCCUAUGGAUUGUAAACUUCUUUUGUGGCAGAAUAAACUACCGUACUUGUACGGUAUUGCAUGUAUGCCAUGAAUAAGCAUCGGCUAACUCCGUGCCAGCAACCGCGGUAAUACGGAGGAUGCAGGCGUUAUCCGGAUUUAUUAGGUUUAAAGGGUGUUCAGGCUGCCUGGUAAGUCAGGGGUGAAAGUCGGUUGCUCAACGAUCGAAUUGCCUUUGAAACUGUCAGGCUCGAGUAUGGAUGCGGUAGGCGGAAUGUGUAGUGUAGCGGUGAAAUGCAUAGAUAUUACACAGAACACCGAUUGCGAAGGCAGCUUACCAAACCAGCACUGACGCUGAAGCACGAAAGCGUGGGGAGCGAACAGGAUUAGAUACCCUGGUAGUCCACGCCGUAAACUUUGCUCACUCGCUGUUGGCGAUAGACAGUCAGCGGCCAAGGGAAACCGAUAAGUGAGCCACCUGGGGAGUACGGCCGCAAGGUUGAAACUCAAAGGAAUUGACGGGGGCCCGCACAAGCGGUGGAACAUGUGGUUUAAUUCGAUGAUACGCGAGGAACCUUACCUGGGCUUAAAUGUGAAGUGCAUUGAUUGGAAACAAUCAUUUCCUUCGGGACCCUUUACAAGGUGCUGCAUGGUUGUCGUCAGCUCGUGCCGUGAGGUGUCGGGUUAAGUCCCAUAACGAGCGCAACCCCUAUUGUUAGUUACCAGCGCGUGAUGGCGGGGACUCUAGCGAAACUGCCGCCUGUAAACCGCGAGGAAGGUGGGGAUGACGUCAAAUCAGCACGGCCCUUAUGUCCAGGGCUACACACGUGUUACAAUGGCCGGUACAGCGGGCAGCUAGGCAGCGAUGUCAUGCUAAUCCCGAAAGCCGGUCCCAGUUCGGAUUGGAGUCUGCAACCCGACUCCAUGAAGG